CCUACGGGUGGCUGCAGUGGGGAAUAUUGCACAAUGGGCGCAAGCCUGAUGCAGCCAUGCCGCGUGUGUGAAGAAGGCCUUCGGGUUGUAAAGCACUUUCAGCGGGGAGGAAGGCGGUGAGGUUAAUAACCUCAUCGAUUGACGUUACCCGCAGGAGAAGCACCGGCUAACUCCGUGCCAGCAGCCGCGGUAAUACGGAGGGUGCAAGCGUUAAUCGGAAUUACUGGGCGUAAAGCGCACGCAGGCGGUCUGUCAAGUCGGAUGUGAAAUCCCCGGGCUCAACCUGGGAACUGCAUUCGAAACUGGCAGGCUAGAGUCUUGUAGAGGGGGGUAGAAUUCCAGGUGUAGCGGUGAAAUGCGUAGAGAUCUGGAGGAAUACCGGUGGCGAAGGCGGGCCCCUGGACAAAGACUGACGCUCAGGUGCGAAAGCGUGGGAGCAAACAGGAUUAGAUACCCGUGUAGUC
RNAcentral lists this ribosomal RNA (464 nucleotides) under uncultured Klebsiella sp. RNAcentral describes it as "bacterial SSU rRNA". It matches the Rfam family "Bacterial small subunit ribosomal RNA", at positions 338 to 795 of the family's 1533-position model. Lineage: Bacteria; Pseudomonadati; Pseudomonadota; Gammaproteobacteria; Enterobacterales; Enterobacteriaceae. The record is from RNAcentral.